Long non-coding RNA from Aquila chrysaetos chrysaetos, 308 nucleotides. RefSeq lists it as uncharacterized. Lineage: Eukaryota; Metazoa; Chordata; Aves; Accipitriformes; Accipitridae. The transcript has 3 exons. The record is from RefSeq and is a predicted model, not a curated record.
AGCAGUGUGGUAUUUCAGCCGUUCGUCCUCUUUUGUCCCGCCUAUUCACCCAGUUUUCUUCCAAGACCAUGUCACAUGUCCUCAAUACCUGAAGCUUCAAUUUGUCUUCAAGUAGCUGAGUCUGGAGAAAACCCUGCAUGGAUAGUAUUUCCCAUCUGUUAAUGACAUCCUUAUAAGGAGGGAGAUAUAAAGCCUGCUACAAGAUGCAUCUUUGAGGGAACUACUCCAGCUAUUGAUUCACCGGGGGAACAGAAGUGUCCGUCUCCAUCAGGAUCAGCAUAUUUUGACCACGAGCUGCUGUCCGGCUC